This 73-nucleotide transfer RNA is filed under the name Romeriopsis navalis LEGE 11480. It matches the Rfam family "tRNA". Rfam says of the family: Transfer RNA (tRNA) molecules are approximately 80 nucleotides in length. Their secondary structure includes four short double-helical elements and three loops (D, anti-codon, and T loops). The record is from Rfam by way of RNAcentral. Lineage: Bacteria; Bacillati; Cyanobacteriota; Cyanophyceae; Leptolyngbyales; Leptolyngbyaceae.
GCUGGUGUAGCUCAAUUGGCAGAGCAGCUGUUUUGUAAACAGCCGGUUGCAGGUUCGAUGCCUGUCACCAGCC